Molecule: ribosomal RNA, 253 nt
Filed under: uncultured bacterium
Lineage: Bacteria
Description: partial 16S ribosomal RNA
Rfam family: Bacterial small subunit ribosomal RNA
Source: RNAcentral
GACGUAGGGCGCGAGCGUUGUCCGGAUUUAUUGGGCGUAAAGAGCUCGUAGGCGGUUUGUCGCGUCGUCCGUGAAAACUCACAGCUUAACUGUGAGCUUGCGGUCGAUACGGGCAGGCUAGAGUUCGGUAGGGGAGACUGGAAUUCCUGGUGUAGCGGUGAAAUGCGCAGAUAUCAGGAGGAACACCGGUGGCGAAGGCGGGUCUCUGGACAUUUCCUGACGCUGAGGCACGAAAGCCAGGGGAGCAAACGGG